This 495-nucleotide ribosomal RNA is filed under the name uncultured bacterium. RNAcentral's name for it is "partial 16S ribosomal RNA". It matches the Rfam family "Bacterial small subunit ribosomal RNA", at positions 28 to 507 of the family's 1533-position model. The record is from RNAcentral.
GACGAACGCUGGCGGCGUGCCUAAUACAUGCAAGUAGAACGCUGAAGGAGGAGCUUGCUUCUCUGGAUGAGUUGCGAACGGGUGAGUAACGCGUAGGUAACCUGCCUGGUAGCGGGGGAUAACUAUUGGAAACGAUAGCUAAUACCGCAUAACAGUAGAUAUCGCAUGAUAUCUACUUGAAAGGUGCAAUUGCAUCACUACCAGAUGGACCUGCGUUGUAUUAGCUAGUUGGUGAGGUAACGGCUCACCAAGGCGACGAUACAUAGCCGACCUGAGAGGGGGAUCGGCCAAGCUGGGACUGAGACACGGCCCAGACUCCUACGGGAGGCAGCAGUAGGGAAUCUUCGGCAAUGGACGGAAGUCUGACCGAGCAACGCCGCGUGAGUGAAGAAGGUUUUCGGAUCGUAAAGCUCUGUUGUAAGAGAAGAACGAGUGUGAGAGUGGAAAGUUCACACUGUGACGGUAUCUUACCAGAAAGGGACGGCUAACUACGUG